RNAcentral lists this ribosomal RNA (320 nucleotides) under uncultured bacterium. Its description in RNAcentral is "bacterial SSU rRNA". It matches the Rfam family "Bacterial small subunit ribosomal RNA", at positions 470 to 789 of the family's 1533-position model. The record is from RNAcentral.
UGACGGUAUCUAACCAGCAAGUCACGGCUAACUACGUGCCAGCAGCCGCGGUAAUACGUAGGUGGCAAGCGUUGUCCGGAUUUAUUGGGCGUAAAGGGAACGCAGGCGGUUUUUUAAGUCUGAUGUGAAAGCCUUCGGCUCAACCGAAGAAUUGCAUUGGAAACUGGAAGACUUGAGUGCAGAAGAGGAGAGUGGAACUCCAUGUGUAGCGGUGGAAUGCGUAGAUAUAUGGAAGAACACCAGUGGCGAAAGCGGCUCUCUGGUCUGUAACUGACGCUGAGGUUCGAAAGCGUGGGUAGCAAACAGGAUUAGAUACCCUG